UCAUACUGCCCUUGGGAUGUGAUUUUGCUCAGGUUAUCGAGUCCUGUGGAUGAUGGGCAAUGUCUGGAGGGCAAGUGACCAGGAGGACAGAAAUAGACAAAUCUGUCACAAACUUUCAGAGCUGUAUUACCAAGCCAGAAUUCUUCUCUGCGGUCUCCAAACCCAGCGGCAUAGGCCUUCCAGUUUCGGUAAAAGUCCUCACGUCCAUUUUUGCGUCUCAGGAAAACCUACAACAAUAUGAUACUUAAGUAAUAGAAGGGAUGAGAAGAUAAGAUGUCUUUUUGGAAGGAGGAAUGUCAGACUGAGGGAAGAACAGCCAACCAUCUCCAGCUUUCUCCAUUGCUUAUUUAUUUGCCUGUGACUUUGGGCACAAUCACGCCCUUCCCCUCCCCAUGCCUAAGUGUUCAGAAAACUAGGAAUGGACAAUGCUUCUUAGUUCUGGUGACACUGAUGCAUCUUGGUCUCUCAACAGUCUUCAUGAUGCAUCACACUGAAGCUGACAGUGGAGGAAAGGUUGAGAGGGGGUGACCUACAAAUUUUAUUGAUAAAAAAAAAAUCCUGUACAGCCAA
Mastomys coucha (southern multimammate mouse) is the source of this 570-nucleotide long non-coding RNA. RefSeq lists it as uncharacterized. The transcript has 2 exons. Lineage: Eukaryota; Metazoa; Chordata; Mammalia; Rodentia; Muridae. The record is from RefSeq and is a predicted model, not a curated record.